AAUUAAGUGGGGGAGGCCUCUGCCAGUUCCUGUUCUGUUAUUGCAUUUUUAAGGCUCCUGUCCACAGCAGAAUGCCUGCUGGCAGUUACAGUUGAUAAACUAAGUAGGAGUUUCCUGCUCCAGAGGGAGUGAAGGCACUGGCAGCCACCACUGGCAGCUGGAACUCCCAAGCUACUCCACGACGCGGGAGGUUGCCUGGCAGUCAGUUUUGAUGACCAGGCCUAGGAGCCACUCUCAAAUCCAAUUCUCCCUACUUUUGAACCGAUUCAGAAGACUCGGAGACCUUGCUUUUGAAGAAACCCAAACUGGACAGACAGUUACUGAAUUUUUGUAAUGUCCGAGGCUUCCAGGAGGAGUGACACAUAUCUCUGCUGGAUGAGCUCACAGUUCCAAUGAGAAGAUACAAGCUGAAAGAUUGCAGCAGAACUGGGAAGUGAAAGCACGGAGAGGCUGUGGGACAUGGAGGAGGGGCGGUAAGAUUGAGAAAGAGGUAACAGUUGGGGUGACUUUGGACCUGAGACCUGGGCAGGCAUAAGAAGUCUCACUCUCUAUUCCAUUCUUGGCAGGGGAUGUUUCUUUGUACCAGGUAGCUUUGCGCUUGUUUUGUUCCAUAAAAGUAAAUCUCUGUUCACUAAGGAAUUAUGGUAGUGAAUGGUGACUCUCCGGAAUUAUAGGGCUAAUUCCAAAAUAAUCUUAGUUUUAUUCCCCCACAUUGUAAUAUUAACACUUGGGAAUUUUGUUUAUCGCGAUGUUUAAUAAUUUGGCCAGCAGAGGGCACUGCAUACUGACAGUCUCUCCACACCAGUCGCUCAAAUCCUCAAGAGUUCCCGAAGUGUUAGGCUUAACUCAGGGGUGUUUGCAAGUGCUUUGCUCUUCUGUUUCAGACAUAAACAUAUGUCAGAAAUUAAAAGAGGGUUGUGAAGCAGGAAAUUAGAUUAACAGUAGCAUAUAAUUUCCCUCUAUUUGUUAAUAAAGAGAAAAAAUAUUGGUAUGUACACCCAUGUCUACAGGGUUUUAAAUGUAGCUGUAUUAAUUAAUGUAUUAAUAAUAUGAUAACACUACUUCUUGCAUAAAUCAACAUAACUUCUAAAUUCUCUUUGAAAAUAUUUUUGGUUUUAUAUUGUGGUUUAAUUCUCAAUCAUAAACUAAAAAGUAAAAAAACCUGAUGCCUAAUGUUAUACUUUCUUUCAAACCUUAAGAUAGAUAUUAUUGUUUGAAUAGUAUCAAAAUAUUGUGGUUCUGCACAAAUGCUUUUUAUAACUUCUUACGAUGAUAUUUUAAUUUCUAUUUCCACAUAUGGAUAUGAGUAUUCGAAAACAUUUGACGCACAAUUUUCUUCUCUUCAUCUCCCCAUUAUAAAAAUGUAAAGGUGUGUUUUAAAACCCGUUUGCUCUUGGUUAAACUUGACAAUGUGGAGACCCCUUUGUUAGCUGGUCCUAUGAGUUAAUGCACAGCCUUUGUGUUUUUCAUUUAAGG
This 1476-nucleotide long non-coding RNA is filed under the name Homo sapiens (human). RNAcentral's name for it is "long non-coding RNA NONHSAT177957.1". The record is from RNAcentral. Lineage: Eukaryota; Metazoa; Chordata; Mammalia; Primates; Hominidae.